GGGAACCGGGAGCCGGCUCCAUGCGCCUGGAGCGCGCGGGUCCCAGCGCCCAUCGGCCCGGGGUCCGAGGGGCCCGCUGCCCGGGCUCGCUGCGUGGUGCUACCGCCCCCGGGCCCGCUGCGCCGCGUCGGAGCCCCAGCAGACUUUGAGAGGCGUGUGCGACAGUGCGCGUCCUCUCCUGCCUCUGGAUGUUUCCUUGGAGCCUCUGGCCUUCGGGAAGACCGAGAUAUUUUCCUCUAAGUGAACGGUACAGCUGUUGAAGGCAAGGACAAUGGAUACUUAAAAACAGCCUGAUGGCCUGGUGUUGGGCCUGAUCACCCCAAAAUUUCAGGCACCCAACGUGGGGCUAUGAAGACCAUGGUAAAGAAAUGCUAGAGUAUAUGGAAAUGAAGGACAUAUCAUCAAAGGACACCCGAGGAUGGCUGAAAGAAGCUUGGUGGGUAAGCUGGGCACUCUGAAGAACCAAGUGCCACUGGGUUAGAGUCUCCCCGACCAAGCUGGUCUCAGCAAGUGGUCUCCAUCAUGGGGGCUCGAAUCCAGGUUGAAGGGUCACCAGAGUGAUGGUUGGAGAACAUGGAACUAGCUGGAGGACACCUGAGUACUCUUAAAGCAAACCCCGUGGCCAAAAUCAAUAACCAAUUUGGAUACCAUCAAGACACCUGAAACCUUAUCAUGAGCCAGAUGCUGAGGAAGAGAUUCCAGGAGGAUCCUGAGGACCCCCUGGUUGCAGCCACGUCGAGGCUGACACUGAGGAGGACCCCAACUGUCAUGAGCAACACCCGUCGAACACAGCCAUCCACCUGGGGACAAAUCAAGAAGCUGUCACAGAUGAUGGAAGAAAACCUGAGGAAAGCGGGACAACCAAUCACAAUGAGUAAUUUGGUGAUCUAUCACAGUGAUGAUCACCAUUGCCAUGAGUAUUCCUUCAACAAGGGCUGACACAGAGAACAAUUAUACUUAUUGGGCAUAUUUAUCAAUCUUGUCUGGCAAUAAUGCCUAGAUGAUUUCACUCUAUGGCACAGUUACACAUGCUUUCUGAUCUCAGUAUUUACCAUAAUAAAUCUGCUCCUAUAAUUGAGGCAUACCACCCUCAAAAACCUAUUUGUAAACAAAAUAGAACCUGGCCAGAAAUAAUGAACAACUUGUUUAGUAAGAUUGCAUUGCAGAACAGGCAGAGAUGCUACGCAAUGAUUCCUAUGGGAUCAUUGAUUGGUCCCCUAAGGGGAUGUUUAGCUUAAAUUGCACCUCUCAGUCUGCAUGCCAUGGCCACACUAGUUCAGAUGGUCUGAACAAAGUGGUCAGAUGGCAGAAAUGAUAAGAAGUAUGGCAAAAGUUCCUAUUGUCUGGAACCAUGGCAGUAUAGUGUCACCUCAACCUCAAAUGAUAUGGCUCAUUGUAGGAGCUAAACAUAAGGAUUUGUGGAAACUAUUAAUAGCUCUUAAUAAGAUCAAAAUUUGGGAAAGAAUAAAAAAAGCAUCUAGAAAGACACUCUACAAACUUGUCUUUGGAUAUUACAAAAUUAAAAGAACAAAUAUUUAAAGCAUCCCAGGUACACCUGACCUUAAUGACAGAAACUGGAGUGCUUGAAGGAGCUGCAGACAGAUUAGCAGCUAGUAACCCAUUAAAAUGGAUAAAAACACUUGGAAGCUCUGUGAUUUCAAUGAUGAUUGUGCUUUUAAUCGGUAUUGUUUGUCUUUGUAUAGUGUGCAGAUGUGGAUCCUGACUCCUGUGAGAAGUAGCUCACAGUGUCAAAGCUGCCUUUGCUUUUAUCGAUUUGCAAAUCAAAUAAGGGGGACAUAUUGGGAACAGCACCCCCCCCCCCAAAAUCUGGCCAUAAACUGGUCCCAAAACUGGCCAUAAACAAAAUCUCUGCAGCACUGACAUGUUCAUGAUGGUCUUAAUGCCCACGCUGGAAGGUUGUGGGUUUACCAGAAUGAGAGCAAGGAACACCUGGCCCACCCAGGGUGGAAAACCACUUAAAGGCAUUCUUAAACCACAAACAAUAGCAUGAGUGAUCUGUGCCUUAAGGCUGUGCUACUGCUGCAGAUAACUAGCCCAACCCAUCCCUUUAUUUCAGCCCAUCCCUUCGUUUCCCAUAAGGGAUACUUUUAAUUAAUCUAAUAUGUAUAGAAAGAAUGCUAAUGACUGGCUUGCUGUUAAUAAAUAACGUGGGUAAAUCUCUGUUGGAGGCUCUCAGCUCUGAAG
This is a long non-coding RNA of Homo sapiens (human), 2205 nucleotides long. Ensembl annotates it as PM20D1 antisense RNA 1. Its record names the gene PM20D1-AS1. The record is from Ensembl. Lineage: Eukaryota; Metazoa; Chordata; Mammalia; Primates; Hominidae.